UAGACUCUAUUGUUUCUAUGAGCGCUGUGUUAUUUCCUGCAUGUUUCACCCUGGACCCAGGUUAUGCAACAUCUGCAUAGAAAUCUUGAAUGGUAAUCCGGACUGCUAUUGGAAUUCUCACCGACUUCUUUUCAUUGUGCCAACAUCAAAGACAAGAACAGAUGGCUCAACAACCAUUUUAACUCCAGGCGGGCUCUGGAUUUCAGCGUGGUAAACUGCAUUAACCUCGCCUACAUUUGUCACUGUUCUAGAUACUGUGGUUGGAUUCCUGAGAUCAGGAAGAGCGAUUGAUGGUAGAUUCAGGUGAUACCCAGGUAGCGUUGUUGCAUUACAGCUGACAGAUGUCUUGAUGAUGCACCCAAAAAACUUGUUAUAAUCGCUUGGAUCGAUGUCAUAAAUGAGGCCUGGAUCAGCUGCCCUGUUUGGGUUAAUGUUUCCACCUCCAUAGUCAAAUGGAUCAGCAAUCUUCCGAGGCACUCCUUCUGCCAGUAUUGGCAUGCCUCGUUCGUCAGUUACAGAUGCUUCGAUAUACAAAAUGAAACAGAGUCUGGAUGGAGGGCUUUCAGCAGCGCGACAACACCUGCUACAUGUGGCGUUGCCAUUGAUGUUCCUGUGCCAAGUUGGUAGUGAUCUUUCAUGGCUGCUAAAAUGUUGGAUCCUGGUGCAGCUAUGUCAGGCUGUCAUAGACGCAACAGCAACAAGACCAUUGGUAAGAUGAGGAAACACCGUGGCUUUCUACCGGAGGCUAAGUUUUUCUCCUAAGUUGGAGUUACGUACCUUGAUAAUAUCAGGGUAAUCAACCGAUGGACCUCUCGAGGAGAAUGCUGCUACUUUUGGCGCCAAUACUCCUUCUCCUGUGAUAGUGCGUGCCGGUUCGAUCUUUGCCAUUGUUUGUUCUACCUUGCUUCGCUGAUGUACGAGCCGAUCAGAUUUGCACUUUCAAGGUCCACGAGAACACAGGCAGUGCCGUUGCAGGCCGUUGUGAUGCCCAGGAGAUCAGUCGUGUACUGAGCAAAGAUUAGGCCAGAAGCCCCGGCACCCAGGACGGUUUUCAAUGCUAGUGGAAAAAGUGUAAGUGGUGAUAUCUCGAUGGAGAUGCACAGCACAAUUCUCCCCUUCACAUCCGUGCCGUUCAGAUCAUCCUUGGUGCAUCUAUCCACAAGAAAACGGCCUCCAUAUGCUAGAAGUCUGAAGCUGCUGCCUGAUGAGUUAUUCCCUUCGUAGUAGUACAUGGACUGUCCCUGCAAAAUAGCCAGAUUUUUGGACAAGAUAAGCCGUUGACCAAUGAGCACACAUCGUGUGGUGAUUAAUGGAUCACGUUUGUGCGUCGUACCACAAUCUGGCGCUUGUCCCCCAGAGUGAUCACGGUCGGGAACGACCGGUCAAUCUUGCUUGCCGCGACGGUGAUGACCCAGGGAGCAGUGUUCCUGACUACCUGCGGCGCAGGCCCAAAGUUCGUGGCUGCGUACACAACGGUGAUCCCCUUCUGGACGGCGUGCAGCGCGCCGAACGAGUUCUCCAGGGUACCCAGGGACAGCGACAGCACGUCCACGCCGUCGUGGAUCGCGUCAUCGAUGGCGGCAAGCACGGUGGCGGAGUUCCCUGACCCGGCGCCGCCCCUGCCCCAGACGGACUUGUACACCGCGAUGCGCGCCCGGGGCGCGCCGCCGCGGGCGGUGCCCGCGGCCAGCCCGUGGAAGCUGACCGCCUCCACGACGGAGCCCGCCGCGGUGGACGCCGUGUGCGUGCCGUGGCCGUUCACGUCACGGGGCGAGAGGUAGUCGAUCUUGAGGUCGUCCUCGUCCACCCCGGCGUGGUAGAACCGCGCGCCGAUGAUCUUGCGGCUGCAGUUGUUGCUGCCCCAUCCUUCUCCGACCUGACACACGCCCUUCCACCGUGCCGGCACCGGCCCGUACCCUUCGUCGCGGAAGCUUCUCGACUCCGGCCAUAUCCCUGUGGCAAGUGCACCACCAGACCAGCUGCGUUAUAAUGGGAUUGCGGCAGAAAUGGCGCCACCAAAAACAUUUGAACGUGCGCUCUAGACUAACCGGUGUCAACAACCCCGAUGAUUAUGUCUUCUCCGUAGUUGCUCCUUCGGAGUAAUUCACUGGGGUUUUGGUAGUUCAGCCCCAGGAAAUCCCAGCUCCGUGUGGUCGUUGUCUUGUACCUCCUGCUUCGCUGCACACUGAUUACUUCUGGUAACUCUGGAGAUAUCAGAUGCAUUAAGCAAACCACACAUGCUGAGUUUAUCGGGAUAAUCAUACUGCUCGAUUAGAAUCAGAAUGUGAGAAGUAUAUAUGAUCGGUAUUCUAGCCAAGUGAAUCGAUGUAUCAUCCUCUUUUCUGGAUGGGUAUAUCAGUUUAUUGGUAGGAUCAUCUGACCUGCAAGUUGUUCUGCUUGCUCUUCUGUUAGCAUUGCAGCAAAUCCUGAGAAUCCAUGCUUGUAGUUAUAGAUGAUGGAAGAUAAGGAUUCCUCUUUACUGAAAGUUCAACAUGGUUAAUUGGUUAGCAAGAAA
Molecule: non-coding RNA, 2515 nt
Organism: Oryza sativa Japonica Group (Japanese rice)
Lineage: Eukaryota; Viridiplantae; Streptophyta; Magnoliopsida; Poales; Poaceae
Source: RefSeq, a predicted model, not a curated record